RNAcentral lists this small RNA (827 nucleotides) under Pongo abelii (Sumatran orangutan). RNAcentral describes it as "retained intron". Lineage: Eukaryota; Metazoa; Chordata; Mammalia; Primates; Hominidae. The record is from RNAcentral.
GGGAGCUCGGGCCAAUCAGAGGGACGGCCCCAGAAUGGCAUGGUGAUGGAACGCAGCUGAGAGGUCUGACAAGAUGUACCAGGUCCCACUGCCACUGGAUCGGGAUGGGACCCUGGUACGGCUCCGCUUCACCAUGGUGGCCCUGGUCACGGUCUGCUGUCCACUUGUCGCCUUCCUCUUCUGCAUCCUCUGGUCCCUGCUCUUCCACUUCAAGGAGACAACGGCCACACACUGUGGGCCGUCCAUGAAAAUGCUUUCAUUGUGUUCAUUGCCUCAUCCCUCGGGCACAUGCUCCUCACCUGCAUUCUCUGGCGGUUGACCAAGAAGCACACAGUAAGUCAGGAGGUACGGUCUAUCCCUAGCGGGGGCUCCAAGUCAGCCCAGAAGAAAAUCAAGGACAUCUGUCCUCAGGAUUCGGGUAAUGGUGAGGUGGGAACUGAGUUCUAAUGGGAACCCUGGCAGAGGGGUGCUGGGGUUGGGGCUGGGGCUUGGGAACAAACUGAGGGUGGUUGGUCAGAAUCUAGGACUAUAGCACUGUGUUUGGGUAGUGUGGGAGACUGGAGAAUAGAAAAGAUGGAGGCUGCAAAUGGGGAUAGAAUGAGGAGUCGCAUCUAGGCGGCAGUGAGGAACAGUGUCAGAGGACUGGUCUGUCAUAAUUCCAGCGUCCCACCCAUGUACAUGGGUUUCUUUUCCCCCACAGUAUUUGGAAGUGGGGUUGGUGGGUGACUCCAUGUAACUUUCAUACUCCAUCCCCCUGAAGUGGAAGGGGCAGGAAUACCACUGCUCCUCGGCCCAUCACUCCCCCAGAGGCAGGGUCGUGAACAUGU